AACAGUUUGCGUCUUUGCGUUAUAAACAACAAGCAGAUUAUUUGUUGAGCAGAAUUUCCUUGAUCAGUAUUCAGCGGCGUAGAAAGGAAAAAUAAGAAAUUCCUGAUAGCAGUCGUAAACAAUGUUCAAUCAAAUAUACAGUGCCGGGCGAAGAGAAUUUGCUACAGAAUUUAAUUGAGCACACAAAAAAGGGUAAGAUAUCUUUUAUAAGUAACAUCGGAAAGAAUCCAAAUUUACAUGUACAUAAAAUAAAGUACUAAGAAGAAACGCGAAACUCUAUUAUAUUACACGUGAUGCAAUUCCCAAAAGAAGAAUCACAUUAUACUUGUAAUAAAAAUAAUAAAAAAUUUAUUCUGUAAGUUCUGUUUGCUCAAAUAGGUAUUGAACAUGUUAUUGCUACUCUUCCUAUACCAAAAGUUGAAACAGUUGAAGAUAAUGCAAGGAAUAAUACAAUUUUCUUUGGAGACGCCGACACCUUUGAUCGGGCCGCCGAUGACUCUGGUGGGCAUGACCAAGUCAUCUCCUCUCAUCAGUGCAUGAGCACCCUUCAAAGCAAUAAGUGCAUGAG
This is a long non-coding RNA of Aphis gossypii (cotton aphid), 568 nucleotides long. RefSeq lists it as uncharacterized. The transcript is spliced from 3 exons. The record is from RefSeq and is a predicted model, not a curated record. NCBI's taxonomy places the organism in Eukaryota, Metazoa, Arthropoda, Insecta, Hemiptera, Aphididae.